RNAcentral lists this ribosomal RNA (379 nucleotides) under uncultured bacterium. RNAcentral's name for it is "bacterial SSU rRNA". It matches the Rfam family "Bacterial small subunit ribosomal RNA", at positions 790 to 1167 of the family's 1533-position model. The record is from RNAcentral.
GUAGUCCACGCCCUAAACGAUGUCAACUGGUUGUUGGUGGGGUUAAACCCAUUAGUAACGAAGCUAACGCGUGAAGUUGACCGCCUGGGGAGUACGGCCGCAAGGUUAAAACUCAAAGGAAUUGACGGGGACCCGCACAAGCGGUGGAUGAUGUGGAUUAAUUCGAUGCAACGCGAAGAACCUUACCUACCCUUGACAUGCCAGGGAGCCUCUUGAGAGAGAGGUGUGCCCGAAAGGGAGCCUGGACACAGGUGCUGCAUGGCUGUCGUCAGCUCGUGUCGUGAGAUGUUGGGUUAAGUCCCGCAACGAGCGCAACCCUUGUCACUAGUUGCUACGGGAAAGCCGAGCACUCUAGUGAGACUGCCGGUGACAAACCGGA